This 447-nucleotide ribosomal RNA is filed under the name uncultured bacterium. RNAcentral's name for it is "partial 16S ribosomal RNA". It matches the Rfam family "Bacterial small subunit ribosomal RNA", at positions 29 to 523 of the family's 1533-position model. The record is from RNAcentral.
AACGAACGCUGGCGGCGUGCUUAACACAUGCAAGUCGAACGCACCGCAAGGUGAGUGGCGCACGGGUGAGUAACGCGUGGGAAUCUACCUUUUGGUUCGGAAUAACACAGGGAAACUGGUGCUAAAACCGGAUACGCCCUUCGGGGGAAAAAUUUAUUGCCAAAAGAUGAGCCCGCGUUGGAUUAGCUAGUUGGUGAGGUAAUGGCUCACCAAGGCGACGAUCCAUAGCUGGUCUGAGAGGAUGAUCAGCCACACUGUGACUGAGACACGGCCCAGACUCCUACGGGAGGCAGCAGUGGGGAAUAUUGGACAAUGGGGGAAACCCUGAUCCAGCAACGCCGCGUGAGUGAUGAAGGUCUUCGGAUUGUAAAGCUCUUUUGGCAGGGACGAUGAUGACGGUACCUGCAGAAUAAGCUCCGGCUAACUUCGUGCCAGCAGCCGCGGUAA